UACAGAGGUCCCGAGCGUUUGUUCGGAUUUAUUGGGCGUAAAGGGUGCGUAGGCGGCGGAGUAAGUUGGGUGUGAAAUCCCGGGGCUUAACCUCGGAAUUGCAUUCAAUACUGCUUCGCUUGAGUACUGGAGAGGAGGCUGGAAUUUACGGUGUAGCAGUGAAAUGCGUAGAUAUCGUAAGGAAGGCCGGUGGCGAAAAGCGAGCCUCUGGACAGUUACUGACGCUGAUGCACGAAGGCCAGGGGGAGCAAACGGG
RNAcentral lists this ribosomal RNA (256 nucleotides) under uncultured bacterium. RNAcentral describes it as "partial 16S ribosomal RNA". It matches the Rfam family "Bacterial small subunit ribosomal RNA", at positions 524 to 776 of the family's 1533-position model. The record is from RNAcentral.